AACGAACGCUGGCGGCAUGCCUAACACAUGCAAGUCGAACGAGACCUUCGGGUCUAGUGGCGCACGGGUGCGUAACGCGUGGGAACCUGCCUUUAGGUUCGGAAUAACUCAGAGAAAUUUGAGCUAAUACCGGAUGAUGUCUUCGGACCAAAGAUUUAUCGCCUUUAGAUGGGCUCGCGUUGGAUUAGCUAGUUGGUGGGGUAAAGGCCUACCAAGGCGGCGAUCCAUAGCUGGUCUGAGAGGAUGAUCAGCCACACUGGGACUGAGACACGGCCCAGACUCCUACGGGAGGCAGCAGUGGGGAAUAUUGGACAAUGGGCGAAAGCCUGAUCCAGCAAUGCCGCGUGGGUGAUGAAGGCCUUAGGGUUGUAAAGCUCUUUUACCCGAGAUGAUAAUGACGGUAUCGGGAGAAUAAGCUCCGGCUAACUCCGUG
RNAcentral lists this ribosomal RNA (433 nucleotides) under uncultured bacterium. RNAcentral's name for it is "partial 16S ribosomal RNA". It matches the Rfam family "Bacterial small subunit ribosomal RNA", at positions 29 to 507 of the family's 1533-position model. The record is from RNAcentral.